This 407-nucleotide ribosomal RNA is filed under the name uncultured bacterium. RNAcentral describes it as "partial 16S ribosomal RNA". It matches the Rfam family "Bacterial small subunit ribosomal RNA", at positions 28 to 526 of the family's 1533-position model. The record is from RNAcentral.
GACGAACGCUGGCGGCGUGCCUAAUACAUGCAAGUAGGACGCAGUUGCGAACGGGUGAGUAACGCGUAGGUAACUACCUAUUAGAGGGGGAUAACGAUUGGAAACGAUAGCUAAUACCGCAUACUAGUAGAUGGACCUGCGGUGUAUUAGUUAUUAGGUAGGGUAAUGGCCUACCUAGGCAACGAUACAUAGCCGACCUGAGUGGUUGCUCUGCACCACUGAGACUGAGACACGGCCCAGACUCCUACGGGAGGCAGCAGUAGGGAAUCGUCGGCAAUGGGGGGAACCCUCACCGAGCAACGCCGCGUGAGUGAAGAGGGUUUUCGGAUCGUAAAUCUCUGUUGUUAAGGAAGCGGUACUUAACCAGAAAGGGACGGCUAACUACGUGCCAGCAGCCGCGGUAAUAC